GAUGAACGCUGGCGGCGUGCUUAACACAUGCAAGUCGAGCGAGAAGUUUUGAAAAGAUUCUUCGGAUGAAAUUUAAAAUGGAAAGCGGCGGACGGGUGAGUAACGCGUAGGCAACCUGCCCCAUACAAAGGGAUAGCAUUUGGAAACGAAUAUUAAUACCUUAUGAAACUUAACUAGUGCAUGCUAGGUAGGUCAAAGAUUUAUCGGUAUGGGAUGGGCCUGCGUCUGAUUAGCUAGUUGGUGAGGUAACGGCCCACCAAGGCGACGAUCAGUAGCCGACCUGGGAGGGUGGACGGCCACAUUGGAACUGAGACACGGUCCAAACUCCUACGGGAGGCAGCAGUGGGGAAUAUUGCACAAUGGGGGAAACCCUGAUGCAGCAACGCCGCGUGAACGAUGAAGGCCUGUGGGUCGUAAAGUUCUGUUCUAGGUGAUGAAAACUGACAGUAACCUAGGAGAAAGCCCCGGCUAACUCCGUG
RNAcentral lists this ribosomal RNA (479 nucleotides) under uncultured bacterium. Its description in RNAcentral is "partial 16S ribosomal RNA". It matches the Rfam family "Bacterial small subunit ribosomal RNA", at positions 28 to 507 of the family's 1533-position model. The record is from RNAcentral.